UAAAACGGUUUCAUUCCCAACUCCAGCGUUCUUCAUUCUUGCUUUCAUGUUCUUCAAAUAUCUUUGGCAUUAAUAAUUAACAUACCACUGACUUGUCAUUUUUUUAUGGAGCACCUAAUGUUUCCAUCAAAUUCUGCAGGUCACUAUUGAUACCCAUUGUUUCUACCUUUAUAAGUUUGAAGUGAAAAUAUAUCUUUGUGUUAGCUAUGGUACAAGAUAGCAAAGUUAUUACGUAGAAGUUUAUAGAUAGAGAUUUUUAAUGGCUGUGCUAAUCACAAAGAAUUUUGUAAACAGGAAAUGUACUUCCAUGAAACACUCUCUCUCUCUCUCUCUCUCCCUCCCUCCCUCCCUCCCUCUCUCUCUCUUCCUUUGUCUCUGUCUUCUCUUCCCCCUUCCCUCCCUCUUUUCCUCCUUUCUUUCCUAUCUUUCUGUGUGUGUCUGUGUGUAUGUGUGUGUGAGUACAUGAGUGCAUGUGUGCAUACGUGAAAGUUCACAUAUAUAAGAGAGAGGGAAAGAGAGAGAGAUGAGAGAUGUAAAGAGGUGUAGACAUGCAUAACACAGCAUGCAUGUAGAUGUCAGAAUCACGUGUGGCAGUGGGUUCUCCUUCCACCCGCAUGCUAUCUCUAUAAUCUUUCUCCUUCCCAUUUUAUCUGGCAACAUAUUUGCAUUGAUUAAUCAAUAAAAGUUCAUUGUACCUUUUCAUC
This 704-nucleotide long non-coding RNA is filed under the name Rattus norvegicus (Norway rat). Its description in RNAcentral is "long non-coding RNA NONRATT019575". The record is from RNAcentral. Lineage: Eukaryota; Metazoa; Chordata; Mammalia; Rodentia; Muridae.